UCGCAUGCAAAAAAAAGUCAUUCUUUAGCGUAUGAUAUAAAAACACCAUUAAAGAUAAUCAAAGCUUGAUGUAAAAAUUUUUAUCUGCAUUUUGUAAUUGUCUUGACUAGCAGAUAUAAAAUUCUGUUAGGAAAAUAUUAAGGAGCUUGAAAAUCAAUUUUAAGGUUUUUUAGGUACAACAAUGCAUAUAAGCCAAUAUCAAGGUGCAUUCUCCAUGAAAAUUUGUGUGCCAAAUAAACGUUAUAGCAUGUGAAAUACACAUAUCAAGGNNNNNNNNNNNNNNNNNNNNNNNNNNNNNNNNAGGAAUGCCAAAUAAUUGGUUAUAAUAGUCAUACAAUUAUGGGUUUCCAUUGCUAAGCCUCAUCUUUGACCAAAUUAUGCUAAUAAAUAGUUGACCAAAUUAUGCUAAUAAAUAUUUAGGGUUGUAUAUAGAUGCAGUAUUCCUAUUUUUUUUUUUUUGAAGAUCAAAUAACAUAAAUUCAACCAGUAGAAAAUAAAGAUCACUGGAUUUCAAGACUGGCCUGAUAACAUAGAAUUUCAUAAAAUAAAGACUAUAACGUAACAAUUAGAAAAUUAAAGAUAAAGUUCAUAAACCAACAAGUAUAGUUGACGACACUCUCAAGAAGAAAGCCUGGGCAGCGAAAGGGAUACGAUGGUGCGUUCCUUCAUAGUCAAAGUCAAUGCCAAGACCACCUCUCAUCCUCAAAUUCUCAAUCAUGAGGUGAAAUGAAUCUCCCAGAAUCAAAUAGAUCUUUUUCAUUAAGACAACAUAGAACUAACCGGUGAAGAGAUAUCCAUCCAAACAAAAUGUCACAUCGGGGCAUUGUGAGGUAAUCACACUCAUAGCCUUGAGCUUGAGCGAUUCAAACUGAAUGGUAAAAUUGAGAUUUGAGAUCUGAUCCAAUAAAAUUUCUUCAAAUAAAUCAUAAUCAUGAUUAGCUUCUUCUCUCACUUUUCUCUCUUCCCACCCAAACAAGGCAACAACACAUAGCAAGGCAACAAUUCCCACCCAAAUAAGGCAACAACACAUAGCAAGGCAACAACACACACCAAGUUCUUCUGUGCUCAACUGUUACUUUCUCCUUAUCCUUGUUCUUCUUAAUUCAGAACCUAGAAUUCUCACCUCAAUAAUUCCCCACUCAUCUCUCUCCUGCUUCAAGAACUGUAUGCUAUAAUAAUUAUUGGUUCUUCUUGCGUUGUCAUAGGUCGCAUAUAUAACACAAUUUGCUUGAAGGCUUAAAU
Molecule: long non-coding RNA, 1242 nt
Filed under: Capsicum annuum
Lineage: Eukaryota; Viridiplantae; Streptophyta; Magnoliopsida; Solanales; Solanaceae
Description: long non-coding RNA (CANN_LNC010993)
Source: RNAcentral